This 19027-nucleotide long non-coding RNA is filed under the name Nicotiana benthamiana. Its description in RNAcentral is "long non-coding RNA (NBEN_LNC030218)". Lineage: Eukaryota; Viridiplantae; Streptophyta; Magnoliopsida; Solanales; Solanaceae. The record is from RNAcentral.
UACCAUAUUGAGAAAGAGUUCUCUCCCUCUAGAAUUGGGUAAAGCUCUCUCUCUGAUUUUUUAAUAUAAGUUUUUAACUUGUAUUUCUAAUUUUUCAGUUUCAAUAAUAAUCAAGUUUGUUUAUUUUAUUUUACUCUUGUACAAGUUUCAUUUACAUUACUCUGCAUUAUGGUAAGUUAUACCACCUAAUUUAUUUUAUUGCAUUUCAGUCACAUGGUUGGCUCUACCUCAUAAAUUUAUUUACUUGCAUUCUAACUACAUCUUUUGCAGGUUUAAUCAUAUUACUUACUUGCUUCCUAUCCUUAAAUUUAUUUAUUUUUUUCCCUAAUCCUUUAGGGGCUUCGCUUCCGGUCCCUUGGUAUCAGAACCAUGGGGAAAGUAAGGAUUAUUAUUCUUGUUUUUGACUUGCUUUUAUGUUGAUUUGAUAGAUUAGACUUCGAUCUAUAUACAUAAUGGCAAAAGAAGCAUUAUCUUAAGAAAUUCAAGCGAACAAUUGAUAAACCUUCUACAUCUACGUCUAAUGUCUUUUCCAAUCAUCCUCAAGUCUCCAAUACCUAUAAUAUUACUGAUGUCCUUUGUAGAUUCCCUUCCCAAAAACCUAAGGUAAUAACUAUCCAUGAUCUCCAAUCCGAGAUAACAUUCCUUAAGGAGGAAAUUUGAGAAAUUAAGGCUAAACAAGAGUUAGACCGUCUUGUUCUCCAACAGCUCUCAACCAAGCCCGAGGAGUUUAAACCGACCGAAGAUAAGCCAAUUCAAAAAAGAAGUUUUUUACCUCUCCCGUAUUUCCAUAAGAAAAUGGCACAUGAGAGUCAUCCUAAUUAUCAAUAAGUCCUUCACCUUGGAUAUUAUUGCCUUAUUUGAUAUGGGUGAAGAUCUCAACUGUAUACAAGAAGGACUCAUUCCAACAAAAUUCUGUGAAAAAACCUAAGAAGUUCAUAUAUAUAUAUAUAUAUAUAUAUAUAUAUAUAUAUAUAUAUGACUUAUUUUUUACAUGUUUCUUAAAUCUUAUAUUUUUCAUAAGUAUUUCUCUUAAGGUUGGCAUUGUGAUCCUUCCGGAUCUGCACUGUAAGAAGUUUUCCUGAGAAAAGUGGAUAUGAUAGUUCUCAGUUGGCUUGCACAUGGUUAGUGAUAAACUUUGAGUCAUACUAAAGAACAACUUCUUAAGAAAUAAUUGGAUUUAAUUAUUAUAUAUAAAAGAGGAAGUACUAUAUAUAUAUAUAUAUAUUCAAAUACAAAAUAGGAAGUACUAUAACAAAAGACUCGACAAUCUUCACUAGAUUGACAGACUCAAUACUAUUGUAUAAGACUAAAAGUUAAAAGACAAUGUAAGAUAUAGUAAAAAAAUAAAAUUCCUCAAGCAGCUCGUGCAUGCAAUGAUCUUGACUAGAAUGAUCCUGGGGUAUCUAUCAUGCUCGAGUCCAGAUACACGGAUACAUACGUGAAUGAGAAAAAAAAGACCAAAUAUAUCAGUGACUCAAGACACUAUGCAACAUCGCAACACCUCCUAAUUGACACAUGUAAGGCGUGUUUAAGGCUAUUUUGCAAAAUGACCUACGAAGCCAAAAUGUAGCUAUUAGCGCAAACUCAACAAAAAUGACCUCAAAGACAUGGACAUACCUCCACUGCUACAUUUUACACAACAUAGACUAGAUCUUUUGUAGGUGUUAGAGUGGGUUCGAGUCCCACAUUGGUUAUAUGGAUUCAAACACCCAAUAGUUAUAGCUCAAAAUUAAUUUGUAUAAAUGAUCAAUUUUGCAAAAACGACCAAUUUGGCUAUAAGUGGUUAAAGAUGCAAAUUCAAAAAGAAAUUACCUUAAAGUAUUAUGACUCCUAGUUGUGGAUUCAAUAUCUUAAUACAUGGGUUAUUGAACUACUUUUGCGAAAGUGACUCCAUUGUGCAAGAAUGGUCGAUGUUUUCAAAAGUAUCUAAACAUGCAAGAUAUGGCUAAGAUCCAGCAAAGACAAGAACCUUAGACUUGCUAGAAAGACCAGACCCUAUGAGCUGCCUGCGUAUCCUGCCCCAAAAGACGAGAAUCAGGUAUGCGUAGUUCGGGAUGACUGGACAUGGGAGAAAACAUUAAAAAAAAUAACACAAAUUUGGAAAAAAAUAAAUUUUGUCUUUUUGAAAAAUGUAAAAUCUUUUGGAUUUUAUUUCUCUUAUUUUUAAAUUUUUGAAAAAUGACAGGAAAGUGUAAAAAUUUUGGAUUUUUUUGGAUUUUUUCAUUUGCAAUUUUUUUGAUCUUUUUGUUUUUGAAAAUUUUGUGAAAGAAAAUAUAACUAGGCCCUACUUGCUUCAUUUUUCACCCUGUUUUCCCAAGCAUCGGUCCAUCAAAUGACCUUUUUACCUUAAAAGAUGCGGUAGGUAUCACAUAAGGAUGAUUUAAUGUCUUUUUGGGCCACGAACCCAUUUUUGAUAAAAUUUGGAUAGGUUUCCUACAAAGGGAUACGGCGCCUGGGACCGAAUCCUAUUAGGAGUAAAUGAUAUGAUGCAAAUAAAAAUGACCUAAAGGAGGACCUAAGUUUGUGGUUCACUAACAAGGCAAUUCGGGGCCGCACGUGGUCGAUGACGGCUGCUCUAGCUCUCCGCCCGCUCCAUGCUCUCACGCCACCCCCUAAAGAUACGAAUGACUCACAAAAACGCCGUGUACGCUCAAACGUACUCCUGAAGACUUGUUGUAGAAAGAAGACCUAUGCAAAUGAUGAUAGUUUUAAAGUAGUAAAUACAUAAGGAAAUGUGAUAAACAAAUAACCAACAAAACAAGGAAAUAAGACAAACAAAGCAAAUAAAGAAAACAAACACAUCAAUUGAAUAUCCUAUAAGCCAACAAGAUCAAGUAUCAGCUAAAACCUACAAGUCUCUUCAGCAGAGUUGCCAGAGAUGUCACACCCCUUUUUUUUUAACAAACCUCACACCCUCUUAAAAUAAAUAAAAAAAUUUAGUAGAAGGUUGGACAAGGUUUUCAAUUUUGAAUGUGACAAAAAUGGUGUCAAAAUGAUUAACUCAGAGUCACCACCUAACAUUUGAUUUCGGUGUGUUUGGUCACUAUUUUUUUUCUAAAAAAAUAAUCUUUCCUUUCAAAACGCUUGAGACUACAAGGUGGUGAGGAAGGAAGCGAAACUGGCGGUCACGGAAGCUAAAAAUGCAGCAUUUGGGCCCAUGUACGAGAAAUUGGGGGAGAAAGGAGGGGACAGGAAGUUAUUCCGGUUGGCUAAGGUGAGGGAGAGGAAAGCGCGGGAUCUAGACCAAGUUAGGUGCAUCAAGGACGAGGAUGGUAGAGUUUUGACGAGGGGAGUCUCAAGUCAAGCGGAGGUGGCAGUAGAACUUUAGAGACCUGCUUAACAAGGAGGGGGAUCGAGACAUAGAGCUAGGGGAGCUGGGGCAUUCAUAUUUUCAUAGAGACCUCGGGCACUGCAGGCGCAUUAAGGAGGAAGAGGUGAUAAGGGCGUUGUGUUGGAUGAGUAGGGGUAGAUCGACUGGGCCAGACGAAAUUCUGGUGUAGUUCUGGAAAUGCAUGGGUAGUUCAGGAGUUGAGUGGUUGUCCAGGUUGUUCAAUGUGAUCUUUUGGAAUAAGAGAAUACCGGAGGAGUGGAGAUGGAGUACUAUGGUGCCCUUGUACAAAAGCAAAGGGGAUAUACAGUGUUGCAACAACUAUAGUGGUAUCAAAUUGAUAAGUCACGCCAUGAAAGUCUGGUAGAGGGUGAUCGAGGCAACGGUGAGGGAGAUGUCCUCUAUAUCCGUGAACCAGUUCGGUUUCAUGCCGGGUCGCUCUUCUACAGAAGCUAUCCACCUUGUGAGGAGAAUGGUGGAACAAUUCAAGGAUAAGAGGAAGGACCUGCAUAUGGUGUUUAUCGACUUGGCGAAGGCGUACGAUAAGGUCCCUAGAGAGGUGCUAUGGAGAUGCUUGGAGGUGAAGAGUGUUCCAGAAGCCUACAUCAUAGUGAUCAAGGACAUGUAUGAUGGAGCUAAGACUAGGGUUAGGACGGUGGGUGGCGACUCAGANNNNNNNNNNNNNNNNNNNNNNNNNNNNNNNNNNNNNNNNNNNNNNNNNNNNNNNNNNNNNNNNNNNNNNNNNNNNNNNNNNNNNNNNNNNNNNNNNNNNNNNNNNNNNNNNNNNNNNNNNNNNNNNNNNNUCGGCAGAUUAAAUAGAUGUACCAUUUUCAGAUGGUUAUGGGGCUACAUCAAGGAUCUGCGCUAAGCCCUAUCUUAUUUGCCUUGGUGAUGGAUGCUCUAACUCGUCAUAUUCAUGGGGAUAUGCCUUGGUGUAUGCUAUUUUUUCAUGACAUAGUCUUGAUAGACUAGACGAGUGCUGGUGUUAAUGAGGUUUGAGGUUUGGAGACAGACCCUCGAGUAUAAGGGUUUCAAACUAAGCAGGUCUAAGACAGAAUAUCUGGAGUGCAGGUUUAGUGCCGAGUCGAGCAAAGUAGGCUGGGACGUGAAGCUUGGAUAUCAGGUCAUAGCCAAGACAAACAGUUUCAGAUAUCUUGGGUUGGUGAUUCAAGGGGUGAGAGAUCGACAGGGAUGUCACUCGUCGUAUAGGAGCGGGGUGGUUGAAGUGGAGGCUCGCAUCAGGAGUCUUAUGUGACAAGAAAGUUCCACAGAAACUCAAGGGGGAGUUUUAUAGAGCGGAGGUUAGACCUGCCAUGUUGUGUGGGGCGGAGUGCUUGCCAAUGAAGAACUCUCAUGUCAAGAGAAUGAAAGUUGCGGAUCUGAGGAUGCUCAAGUGGAUGUGUGGGCUCACCAGGCUAGAUAAGAUUAAGAAUGAAGUUAUUCGGAAGAAGGUGGUGGUGGCCCUAGUGGAUGAGAAGAUGCGAGAAGCGAGACUCAGGUGGUUUGGGCAUGUGAGGAGGAGGAUCCCUGAUGCCCGGUGAGGAGUUGUGAGCGACUGGCGGUGGUUGGCGCGAGUCGAGAUAUAGGGAGGCCUAAGAGGUAUUAGGGUGAGGUGAUUAGGCAGGAUAUGGCUAGAAUGAGGAUUUCCGAGGACAUGGCCCUUGAUAGGAAAGUCUGGAAGUCUAGCAUUAGGGUUGUAGGAUAGGGGCUUCUAGAAUUUUUAGUACUUUUGUCCGGGGCUAGGUGGGGUCUGGUAGGGCUCUCUAUAGUUGAUUUAUGUCUUGUAUUGUGCCUCUUAUGGUAGUGAACGGUUGGUAUUAAUGCAUAUCAUUUUAUCCUUGGUGUUAUGUUUAGAUAAUUAUAAACGUGAUUUAUGCCGGAUUUACUAAUGUUAUUUUAUUUUGUUUGUUUGAUUUUCUCUCCCUUUCUCUGAGCCGAGGGUCGGUUCGGAAACAGCCUCUCCACCCUUUCGGGUAGGGGUAAGGCCUGUGUACGUAUUACCCUCCCCAGACCCCACUUUGUAGGAAUAUACUGGGUAGUUGUUGUUGUUGUUGUUUUAACUUAUAAUAAAAUUAACUUAUAAUUUUACAUAAAAAUAAUAAAUGUACAAAAAUUAUUUUAUCAAAAUUAUACACCAAAGUUAAGAUAUAAUAUUAAUAUUAUAAAGAUAUUAUAAACAUAAUUAUUAUAUAUAAAGAGUUAAAAUAAAAGAUUUUAAAUAAUUUAAAUAAUAAUAAAAUAUGGGUGAAUAGUAAUGGGGGAGAUAAAUAGUGUACCCCAUAUUUGAGGGAACACUAUUCAUUCCCCAUUACUAUUACAAAUAUAGGGAAGGGUUGGAGCAAAAUGCCCCCAUUUUUCUUCCCAUUAUGGGGGAUGGGGGCCAGGUUGAAGAUGCCUUUACGGAAGUGGACAAAAAUAAAAAGGGUAUAAGGGGUGGAAAUAGGAAUAAAGAUGAUCUAUUUAGAAAGCCACAUUUCGUGGAUGAGAAGUAAAUAAAUAAAAUAAAAAUAUACUAAAAAUUUUAAUGAAGAGAGUGAUACGUGGAUAUUUAAAAAGGGAAAUAACCACUUUGGCUUUUCUUAUUUUGGUUUUGCUGUUACUCUUUCCGUUUUCUUUUUCCUUUCGCUUUCUUUCAUUUUUUUCUUUAAAGGAGGGAUAAGAAAUAGCUUCACAAAAUACUAGUUAUCUAAGAAAAGAUAAAAAUAUUAAGAAGAGAAAAUAACGUAAUUACAUCAAAAAAAUCUAAAUAUUACUCAAUAUAUAUACUAAAAUCUAUAACUUUAUAAAUAAACAAAACAAACAUAAAAUAUAGUACUAUUUUUGUAUUUUUAAAAUUUUAUGAAAAGUAAUUUAAACUAAAAGUAACUAGAUAAAAUAUCAAUUACCUAAAUAACAAAAAUAUUUUUGUGCUAAAAUAAAUUGAAAGAGUCAAAACGAAUUGAAAUAGCGCUAUUAGGCUUAAACUAAAUAUUUAAAUGCUAAACUGAGUAAAAAAUCUGGGAGGGUCAAAAAAUUACAUGUCUACACUUUGCUCGUUAGUUUGGGGGACGAGUAGCUCUGUAUGAUGUAUUAGGAAUUGUGUACAAAAUUUGAGUUCAUUCCGAGUUGAAUUGAUAUGUUUUAGCGCGAGUGUUUGGAAGUCAAAAGUUCAAAAGCUUACUAAGUUUGAUUUGAGGCGUGUUUCAUCGUUUUGAUGUUAUUAUGCGUGAUUUCAAGCCUCGAGUAAGUCUGUGUUGUGUUAUGGGGCUAGUUAGUAUGUUCGUACGGGGUCCCGAGGGGCUCAUGUGAGUUUCGAAUAAGUUUGGGUUGUGUUGCACUCGUUUUUAUUAUGUUUUGACAUUGUUUCUUAAAAAAUUAAUGGAACCACAUUGAACAAAUGAGCUCCGAUUUCUGUUUUUGUUUGAAGUAUUAGAUCCAUAUACGUAACGACCCGACCGGUCGUUUUGAGCCCUAGCGCGUCAUUCAGCAGUCUGAGGCCAUGAGCAGCUUCAUUUCAGGUAUUGGGACUUGUACGUGUGGUCGGAAUUAAAUUUUGGGAAGUCCUGAGUUGAUUUGAAGGAAAAUUUUUGUUUCGAAAGCUUAAAGUUGAAAGAAUAAACUAGGAUUAGAAUUUUUAGUAAAAGACAUCGGAAUCGAGAUUUGAAGGUUCCAGCAAGUUCGUAUGAUGAUUUCGGACUUGGGUGUAUGCCCGGUCCAGGUUUUUGGAUGACCCGGGAGCGUUUUGGCACCUAUUGUGGAAGUUGGCAUUUUGGAAGAAAUUUAUUUAGUUUGGCUUGAAGUGCAUUUCAAUGUUAUCGAUAUCCAUUUGGGAUUCCGAGUUGGUGAAUGGCUCUGCUUGGUGAUUCUGGAGUACGGGGCGCGAUCAGAAGUGAAUUUAGAGGUCCAUUGGUCAUUUUGAAGCCAUUUGGUUAAAGAUAGAAGUUUUGAGAUUUUUGAGAAGUUUUACUGGAAGUGGACUUUUUGAUAUCGAGGUCGGAAUCCAAUUUCAAAAGCUGGAGUAGGUCUGUGAUGCCGAAUAUGACUUGUGUGCAAAAUUUUAGGACAAUCCGACAUGAUUUGAUAGGUUUAAACAGCACAAGUAGAAGUUUGAAAGUUUAAAGUUCAUAAAGCUUGAAUCGGAGUGUAAUUCAUGGGUUUAGCAUUGUUUGAUAUGAUUUGAGCGUUCGAACAAUUCUGUAAUGUGUUUUGAAAUAUGUUGGGAGGUUUGGUUGAGGUCCCGGGCGCCUCGGGUAGAUUCCGGGUGGUUAACGGAUCGAAUUCAGAGUUUGAAAAAGGGCUGGGGCUGCUGCUUCUGGUAUUUCCGCUUCGCGGAUUUGGGACCACAGAAGCGGCCCUGCAAAAGCGAAGAAGAAGCCGCACAAGCGACUUGAGGUGAAGCAGCCCAGGACCGCAAAAGCGGCCCAAGAUUCGCAAAAGUGGAACCACAUAUGCGGUGGGCCGUCCACAAAAGCAGAAAUUAGGCUGCAGCCCAGGAUCGCAGAAGCGGUGUUUGAUCCGUAUAAGUAAGACUGCGGAAGCAGAAGCAGCCGAGGCAGUGAGGUCUUUAAAAAUUCGGAGUUGAGUUCAUUUCAACCUCAUAAUUCUUCCAUUGGAGUCGAUGGGCAGCAGCUUGGAGGUUCCAAUUUUGUUACUUGUCAUGAGGUAAGUAAUUUAUGCUAGCUUUUAGUUAAAUACAAGGUUACACAUGGAUUUAGACUUGGAAAAAUUGUAGAAAAUUGAGGUUUUGGUGGAAAAACGAAAUUUACAUUUCUUGGAAUUUAACCACGGUUUCGGGUAUGGAAUGUAGAGAAAAUUAUAUAUUUGAGUUCCUAAGGUCAUGGGCAAGUUUAUCUUCAAAAAAUUUCGGAUUCCGGGCAUGUGGGUUCGAGGGCAUUUUUGUCAACUUUUCGAUCGGGGUUAGGAAUUGUAAUAAAUUGGAUUAUAAUGAAUACCUUUAGCAUAUAUUAAUGGAUUUAUAUAACCACUGGUUAGUGUUGGAUCAUUGUAUGUUGGUUCAAGUCUUCGGAAGAAUGUAGAUUGUCGGUUAUGGGUCUUCGGAGAGAGGUGACUCUCCUUACUAACCUUAUAAGAGGGAAUUGUCCCACUAGGUGAAAUAAUUGAUUAUGUGCUCUGAUUUGCGGGGGAUACGUAUGCACGAGGUGACGAGAGUCCGUACAUAACUACUAUUAUGCUAUUGUUCGGGAAAUUAGGACCCAAAAGCAUGUUAUACUUGGAUUAUUUAUGAACUCAUUGAUAGCUUGAAUUGCUUAAAUUACAUUGAAUCAGUAAGUGAAUUUCUAGAGGAAUAAACUUCAUUUCUUAAAAUUUGUUAAAGGAGAAUUGGUUUUAUUUGGAUAAAUAUUCCCCGAUAAGUUCUUACUUGACUGACUGUGCAUGUAACCUUAUAUGUACAUGUGUCGCAUGCAUGAUUCGCGAGCAGGGUAUGUAUUUAUUUAUGGAACAUACCAAACGACUCGGCAGAUUAAAUAGAUGCAUCUAUGGUUCGGGCCGUUUGACCCUCGACAGUGCACAGUCUACAUUUCUGUUGGAGCGUGCCGUCAACCUCGACAUGAUAUGCGCAUGUUUAUAAUGUUUACCUAAAAUACUUGAUGUAGAUAUCGCCUUUUUGGUCUGACAUAAAUUGGUAAGGAUAAAUGAAAAGAAACCUUGAAAAUCUAUUGUUAAUUGUUAAAGGUGAUUACCUGUUUUAGAGAUUUGCGAGUUAGAGCGUGUUAUUUAAAAUUCUUGAUUUCCUCACAUUUUAAUAUAUUAUUUUGACCACUAGCAAGUGUUAAAGUCGACCUCUUGUCUCUACUUCUGCGAGAUUAGACGGGAUACUUGCUGAAUACACAUUGUUUUCAUACUCAUACUACACUUGAUGUGCAUUUUUGUUGCACAGGUUUGUUGUGUGGCUAGUGGCUUAGUGGCAUAGUAUCAUGGUUGACGCAGAGACUAGGUGAUUUGUAUUUCCUCGAGGCGGUUCCGCACCUAGUAUAGUCUCUGUAAGGAUUCUAUUUACUUCGGUCCAAUUGUAUUCGGGACAGUUAUUGUGCUUAUUUGGUAUUUCUUAGAAAUCGCUUAUGUACUUGUGAUACCGGGUUCUGGGGAUGUUUUGGAUUUAUUCGAAAAUUAUAAAAGAUGUUUUAAUAUUUCAUUAUUCAUUCGGAGGAAUAUACUGGGUAUAGUGUUAAUUAAAUAAAGAAGUAAUUAAAAAUUAUUAAAAUAAGAAUUUAAUAAAAUAUUUCGGUUUGCUUGCCUGACAACGGUGUUCGGCGCCAACACGACUCUUAGAGGAUUUUGGGACGUGACAACGUGGUAUCAGAGCACUAGGUUCCCGUUGGUCUCGCGAGUCAUGAAUAAGUCUAGUAGAGUCUCGUGGAUCGAUACGGAGACUGUACUUAUCCUCGGGAGGCUACAGGGCUGUUAGGGGUACUUCCCUUCUUGAUUCCCUUUUUUUGGGGUUUGAUUCCUUUUAGGCUUAUGCCUUUGAUUCCUACUCAAUAUUACGUGACGCGAGCGCUUAUUAGAAAUCGAGAAUUUGAAGGAUUGAAGUGGCACUGCAAUGUGGUGUGGGAUGAUUCUCCCGGUAUAGUUGUUUGGACUAUUAUAGUCGUCUUUUAGAAGGAUAUUUUAUUGUUUCAACUCAGUAACAGAACUUCUAAGAGCCUUGAGGCUAGGUACAGGUAGCCAUAAUGCUUAUGAGCGAUUAUUUUGUAGUAUUGUUGUGAUGGUAGGAUGUUUGCCCACGUGUCGGGGCAGUGAAUGACUUGAACAGAGGUUUACUCAGUGUGUAAUCAAGGGAUUCGGUAUUUUAUUCCCGGCAUGGGAAAGGCAGUCGGACUAAGAAUGGUCACAUGUGGGCUAGUGGAAGUAAUGAGACUUGGUAUUUGCAAGCAUGGUGGAGCUUUCUUUUAUGAGGGGUGUCGUGGUCCUGAUUGAACGUACUAAGUUCGUCGGCAUGAUAAUUUGCUACAAUUCUCCUAGGUUAAGAUAUUGUGAAAUAGCAUUAGAGAUACAACUAUCAGAUAUGGCAUGGUGCGGUGGUUUAGGAUCGAAUCAGAAUUUCUAAAUGUUGACGGAUCGAUAAAGAUGACCUUCAGAAAGGCUUAAAGUUAGCAGCAAUUGUGGGUUCAAGUGCCACGAAUAUAGGGUUUAUUUAAGGCAGCAAAGUUUGACGAAAGACAUGUGGGAAGUGCCAGGCAGUGUCUAAAAUUUCUAGAAGGCCAAGUAUAUGAAGCAAAGGUCAAGUAGUUGAUUAAAGAAGCGAGUUUGCCCAAAGUGGGAGAUUGGCGUAUGUUGCAUAUGGGCUUGGUAGUAGGAUGACUAUGCGCCUAAGGAGAGUUUGGAAUGAUCUGGUAUUUUUGCGACUAGCAAUUUAAGUCUUCGAGUUUAAGUUGAAGUGUGGGUUUCUAUGGCAGGAGAUUUGGUAUAACGGAAAUGAGCUGCUUGGAAUGAAGAAUGAUGCAACAUAACCUUGAUUUGGAAGGAUAUUUCCGCACCUUUAAUCGAUGUCUAUGAGGGGUAAAUGGACCGGUGUAGCUUUAAAGUGUGCUUGUACUCGGGAUUGGUUACUGAUGUCAUGGGAUUGUACCCCAUGCGGUGGUAUUGGAAGAUGUCGGGAAGUGAUUUCUACAGGUGGGGCAUCCCCUGUGAGCAGAUUAGCGGUCGCGUGGUUGACGAAGGCUCUGCAAAGAAUUCUAUCGGUUGUCUAGAAAAGAGAUCAGUUAUACGAAUAUGGUUGAUGAUUCAGCAUUCAGAGAGGGGAAUUCUGGCUGCUGAUUCCGCAAGGUUAUGGCGAUAAGAGGUAAAGAAUUCGGGUGAAUUCCAGCGUUGUGUGUUAAUGGCUUCAAGCUAAGUGGCAGAGCCACGUCGAUUAUGAUUUGGGUUGCAUGGUUAUCUACUUGCGAGGUUUCCAGUUAUUAAUACGUUAAUGGGUUAUCUCAGCUGCGGAAAAAGACCAUAAGUGGUAAAUUGAGUAGAUGAAUUGUUGGAAGCAUGUUAUGGUUGGCCUUGUUGGUUCAUGUUCGAACUUGGGAAAAGAUUUAGGAUUUAUGCCUUGUAUAGAUGCAGGUUUCAAAGCAAGUGAUUUCACCGGGUGCUUCAUCGAGAGGGUAUUCAUGUGUUAUAAGAUUUAUGGAGUGGAUUAUAUCCAAGACCAAGUCAGAGUGGGUGGCUCUCAGUAAUGGUCCUAGUGAAUUCAGAAGUUAAGCUGUGAUGCCUAACGAUUUCGAGCCUAUAGGCACGACUAAAAAUCAAGCUUGGAAAGAAGCUUUUGAGACGAGGAACAGAAUAUUUUGUGAUGUUUGUCUUGCGAUGUAGCAAAUGGAAGGUAUGAAAUGGUUCGCGGGAUUUGAGAAAGCAUGGUCUCGUGAUUCGCGGUCACUCGGGGUGAGUGCGGUAGGAGUAUUUUAUGUAUUGAAUGAAGUUAAUAUUAUUUUUAAGGCAAUCCAGGACAAUUUGGAAGGAAGUAGAUUGAUUAGCCAUGGUUGACCUGGCAUAUUGGUGGAAGGGAUCAGUUCAUUCAGCGCGAUUAAGUUAUGCAUGUUAUUUGUGACAGUACGUAUUAGGAUUGUCGACCGUCGUAAUUGAUGUUGUUCAAAAGAAUCCUUCUGUUAUGGCAUGUUAUGUGUAGGCGGAUCCCAUAAGCGCUAUGGUGGCUUGGACCACUACUUAAAGAUUUGCAUAUCCUACGGUUAUGGGAAUAUACCUGUAUGUUGCUAUGUUUCUCCUGAAGUGAGUUAAGUGUAAAGCUCUUAUAUGAUGAAGUGUAAAAAUAUUAAUUGUUUCGGAGUCAUGAUGAAAAUUGUGUUCUAUCGUAUAUUGGCGCGUUGGGUGUAGUGCGUAGCAUGGAAAUUCGAUGUGAGGAUCAAGGUUGCAGUUUGGUGCUGGUAAGGAUGUCACGAGCUCGAAUGAGCAAGAAAGGGUUGAUUGUUUAAAGUAAAUUGGAAUUGUCUUCACCGUCACCUCAGAUCGAUGUGUCGUGAAUGAGUCUUUGCAUCCUGGUUAAGGGUUCUUGAUCAGUUUUCAGCAUUAGUGCGGUUGGUGGUUUAGAUGUGCGGGCCAGUUAUUUAUUUCAGAAGGUUGUGGGAGCGUGUCCCACGGGAAUAUGGUAUAAGUAUGGAAUCUAGUCACUUGAUUGACUAAAGAUUUAAACCAAAUAGGAGGAUUGUGGUAAUAUCGUGGAAUUGAGAAUUUAUGCCUAGAGGGCACUUUACUUAUUGGGUUAUGGACUGAGGAGGUUGCUCCGGUUAUGAUGGUUGUCCUUAUAUGUUAUGAGGAAAGGUUAUUUACCAUGGAUCUUUGAAAGGUUAUUAGCCAAGUUGGUGCAAUCCGAAAUCGGCAUGAGAUCAGUGUUCGUUCUAGCGAGUGUUCCUUUUAGAGGAAUAACCGGGGUGUUAUUUUGUCAUCGGCUAUUCCAGGUAAUGAUUUAUUGCACCGUAUGACUUAUGAGACAGCUUGGUAAAUUUCUUAUGGGUUGAGGUUCCACGUGGCGAUGAUGUUAUAUGAGCAGAAUGGCUCUUGAGAUUCAGAUCUUGUAAUGCACCUCACUCAUACUUGAUUUUUAUAGCCUAUAGCGCUAUGUGAUCCCUCAGGAAUGGUAUAUACACUUGUGUUUAUGACUGAUAUUCGGUAUUUUGUCGUAAUGAGCGAUUUGGCUCGAUGUGCAAUCUCCUUAUGUGAGAUCUAUGUUUGGAUCGGGUGGCAUGAUGCCAUGGGUAUGUCAGUUGGAUCAGGUUGCGCGUCGAAACAGUGUGAUGUUGAGUAUAGCUAUCUUUAUGCUAUUUUUGUGUGUCUCGCUUCCUAUCUUCUAAAGAAAGUCUGUAUUAGUGCGGGAGUUAGGUGAUUCAUUCCAGAGUUCCUUUUCCUUUGUAUCGCGUUCGGAUUGGUGGCCUAUUGGCACAUUGGGACAUCAUAUGAUACUUUUGAUCGCAUUUGGAUGGCUUAUUUCCUGAGUAGUUCAUACUGGGCGAGAUGAGAUUAUUGGAUUUAGGAUCAGUGCAAUAUGAUUAUAUAAAGUAUAUUAAGGAGCAAAGAUCAUUUUUUUGGUUCAGCAUGGGGUAAUGUUUCUUGUCAAAAGUAUUGACUCAACGAUUAAUUGACUCGGCAGUAGAUUAUGAAUUUUUUCGCAUCUCUUCCAUUGUGGAGGCAUGGUAAGAACUAAAGUAAGACCUGUGUAUGUUAUAGGGUGCAAUGGGAGCAUCUGAUUCGUUAAAUGUUGGCUAUGUUGAUCAAAAAAUAUUAUUGUGGUCCGGUGAGUAAAGUGACGUAGGGUGGGAAUUCAGCAAGGUUAUGCAGUAAUGUUGCGUACAUUGUGUGGUGACUGAUUUGGUGAUCUUAUGUUGAAAACGGGCCGGGCGCAAAAUUCUGGAUGUUAGAAUUGGGCUCCAAGGCUUAUUUGCUUGAAUAAAAGGGAAUAUCUUCAGAAUUUAUCGAGCCACUGUGCUCAAUUGAGCUGUGGUAGCACGGGAAGGUGCAUGAGAUGUUAAACAGUAAUUUCAUACGACUUCAGUAUAGUUCUCAGCACGUUCGAGGACGAACGUAUGUUUAAGUGGGAGAGAAUGUAACAACCUGAUUAGUUGUUUUCAGCCCUAGCACGUCGCUCCGUAGUCUAAGGCCAUGAGCAUCUUCAUUUCAAAUAUUGGGACUUGUACAUAUGGUUGGAAUUGAAUUUCAGGAAGUCGUGAGUUGAUUUGGAAGGAAAAUUCUUGUUUCGGAAGCUUAAAGUUGAAAGAAUGAACUAGGUUUGGAAUUUUUAGCAAAAAACAUCGGAAUCGGGAUCUGAAGGUUCCGCCAAGUUUGUAUGAUGAUUUCGGCCUUGGGCAUGCCUGGACAGGGUUUUUGGAUAACUCGGGAACUGUGGAAGUUGGCAUUUUGGAAGAAAUUUCUUCAGUUUGGCUUGAAGUGUAUUUCAGUGUUAUCGAUGUUCGUUUGGGAUUCCGAGUUUGUGAAUAGAUCCGCAUGGUGAUUCUGGAAUUGGGGGCGCGAUCGAAAGUGAAUUCGGAGGACCGUAGGUCAUUUUGAAGCCAUUUGACUAAAGAUAGAAAUUUAGAGGUUUUUGAGAAGUUUGACCGGAAGUGGACUUUUUUAUAUUGUGGUCAGAAUCCAAUUCUGGAAGCUGGGGUAGGUCCGUAAUGUCAAAUAUGACGUUUGUGCAAAAUUUUAGGUCAAUCGGUCGUGAUUUGAUAGGUUUAAACAUCAGAAGUAAAAAUUUGAAAGUUCAACGUUCAUAAAGCUUGAAUCGGAGUGUAAUUCAUGGUUUUUGCAUUGUUUGAUAUGAUUUAAAGCCUCGAGCAAGUCCAUAAUGUGUUUUGGGAUUUGUUGGUAGGUUUGGUUGAGGUCCCGGGUGCCUCGGGUGGACUCCAUGUGGUUAAUGGAUCGAAUUAUGAGUUUGAAGAAGGGUUGGGGCUGCUGCUUCUAGCAUUUCCGCUUCUGCGGAUUUGGGACAACAGAAGCAGCCCCGUAGAAGCGAAGAAGAAGUCGCAGAAGCGGCUGGAGGUGAAGCAGCCCAGGACCAUAGAAACGGCCCAAGAUCCGCAUUAGUGUUGGGCCAUCCGCAGAAGCAAAAAUUGGGCUGGAGCUCAGGACCGCAGAAGCGUCGUUUUGUCCGUAAAAGCGGGACCGCGGAAGCAGCUGAGGCAAUAAGGUCAUUAAAAGUACGGGGUUGAGUUCAUUUCAACCCCAUUUUUCUUCCAUUAGAGUCGAUAAGGAGUAGUAGGAGGUUCCAUUUUUGUCACUUGUCAUGUGGUAAGUAAUUUAUACUAGCUUUGAGUUAAAUACAAGGUUUAUACAUGGAUUUAGACUUGGAAAAAUUGUAGAAAAUUGAGGUUUUGGUUGAAAACCUAGAGAUUUACAUUUCUUGGAAAAUUUGACCAUGAUUUCGGGUAUGGAAUUUAGAGAAAAGUAUAUAUUUGAGUUUCUAAGGUCAUGGGAAAAGUUUAUCUUCGAAAAAUUUUGAACUUUGGGCACAUAGGCCCGAGGGUAUUUUUGUCAACUUUUUUAUCGGGGUUAGGAAUAGUUAUAAAUUGGAUUAUAAUGAAUACCUUCGCAUGUAUUAAUGGAUUUGUAUAACCAUUGGCUGUCUUGGAGCAUUAUGCGUUGGUUCAAGUCUUCGGAAGUAUGUAAAAUGCUAGUUAUGGCUCUUUGGAGCGAGGUGAGUCUCCUUUCUAACCUUGUAAGAGGAAAUUGUUCACAUAGGUGAAAUAAUUGAUUAUGUGCUCCUAUUUGCAGGGGCUACGUACGCACGAGGUGAUGAGAGUCCGUGCGUAGCUACUAUUAUGCUAUUAUUCGGGUAGUUAGGGCCCAAAAGUAUGUUAUACUUGGAUUAUUUAUAAACCCAUUGAUAACUUGAGUUGCUUAAAUCACAUUAAAUCACUAAGUGAAAUUCUAAAAGGAAUAAACUUCACUUCUUAAAAUUUGUUAAAGGAGAAUUGGUUUUAUUUGGAUAAAUAUUCCCCGAUAAGUUCUUACUUGACAGAUUGAGCAUGUAUCCUUAUGUGUCCAUGCGUCGCAUGCAUGAUUCGCGAGCAGAGUAUAUUUUUAUUUAUGGAACGGGCCAAACGUCUCGGCAUAUUAAAUUGAUGCAUCUAUGGUUCGAGCCAUUCGACCCUCGGCAGUGCACACUGUUGGAGCGGGUCGUCGACCUCGGCAUGAUAAGUGUAUGUUUAUACUAUUUACCUGAAAUACUUGAUGUUGAUAUCUCCUUUUUGGCCUCACAUAAAUUGCUAAGGAUAAAUGAAAAGAAACCUUGAAAAUCCAUUGUUAAUUUUUAAAGGUGAUAACCUAUUUUACAGCUUCGCGAGUUAGAGCCUACUAUAUAAAAUUCUUGAUUUUCUCACAUUUUAAUAUAUUAUUAUUUGACCACUAGCAAAUGUUAAAGUCGACCUCUCGUCUCUACUUCUUUGAGAUUAGACGGGAUAUUUGCUGACUACACGUUGUUUUUGUACUCAUACUACACUUGCUUCACAUUUUUGUUGUACAGGUUUGUUGUGUGGCUAGUGGCUUAGUGGCAUAGUAGCAUGGUUGACGCAGAGACUAGGUAAGUUGUAUUUCCUCGAGACGGUUCCGCAGCAUAUAUAGUCUCUUUCAGAAUUCUAUUUACUUCUUUCCAAUUGUAUUCCUUAGAAUUAUUGUACUUAUUUGGUAUUUCUUAGAAAAUCACUCAUGUACUUUAGACACCAGGUUCUGGGAUGUAUUUGAAUUUAUUCGGAAAUUAUAAAAAUGUUUAAAUAUUUUAUUAUUCAUUCUGAGGAAUAUACUGAGUACUGUGUUAAUUUUAUAAAAGAAGUGUUUUUAAAAUUAUUAAAACAAGAAUUUAAUUAAGUAUUUCAGCUAUCUUGCCUGACAACAGUGUGUGGCGCCACCACGGCCAUUAAAGAAUUUUGGGUUAUGACAAUAUCAUAAUCACGGAGUCAUAACAAAAAGAAUCACCGAAUUUAAAUCGUAUGGGAAUUAUAUGGUAAUUUUACUAAGAAUGGGGUUGCCAAAUUUUUUUAGAUUAAUUAGGAUAUUGCCAUUGACUUCGUAUUUUAAAAUCUGGAUUAUUUCCAAAUACUGAAACCAAUAUAUCUCCUUCAUUAUAAGGUCAAAUGGAGUAAUUCAAAAGUUUACUUGACUGAAAUUUCAUAAUGAAUCCAUUAGAGAUAUCAAAAGUAAGUUUCGAAAUCGUUUGGUAUGCAAAACGAGGCAGAACAAUUGGGCACAAAUACUUAAUAUUGAAGAUUUGUUCAUUUGGUCAUAUUUUGAGUUAGGGAGCUCGGAUUUGGAUAAUUUUUGGAGCCGAUAUUUACCAUACGGAUUUGGGUAAGUGUUUAAUACAUGAUUUUAGUUAUAUUUUAUGAAUCCAUAUUUAUUUUUGGAAUGACUGAUGAUCUCAAAGUGAAUUUUGGGGGUUUUGUCUAAAAUUUUAUAAAGUGAAUUUUUGAGUUUUGAACAUCGAUUCGGAGUUAGAUUGAGUGAAACUAGAAUGGUUGGACUCAUAAUUGAAUGAGUUAUUGGAUUUUGUGAGUUUUCUCAAGUUCUGAGGCGCGGGUUCGGGUUUGACUUUUGGUCGAUUUUGUAAUUUUGAUUAAAGAUUCGACCUUUAUCGACUGGGUUUGUUUUUUUUUUUUUUUUUUUGUUAUUUGAUGUAUUUGAGUUUCUUUUGGAUAUUUUCGAGCCAUUCAGAGGUCGAGGACAUUUUUGAAGCAUCAUUUGGCUUACUGGGUAUUGGAUAUAGCUUGUUCGAGGUAAAUAACACUUUUAAACUUGGUGCUAAGGGUAUGAAACCCCGAAUUAUGUAGUAUGUGUUUGGUUUUGUGACGACUCACAUGCUAGAUGACUGGCGUGUGGGUGUGAAUUGUGCGAAUUGUGACUCAAUUAUUUACUUAGUACUGUGUAGUUACCUGAUCCUAUUUGUAACCAUGAAAUUUCUACGUACUAGAGCUAUUUGAGCUAUGAUCCAUGUUAGAAACCAUGUCUAGGCUACAUGUUUAUCCUAUUGGGACCCACUGAUGUCAUUUCCCUUAUUGAGCUAUCUUCUUUCAUUAUUUUAUAUACUCAGUCAUACGCAUUCAUAUGCAUAUCAUUUCUCAGUCUCUAUUAAUAUUUAUUGACACAUCAUAUCAUCAUUUUGGGCUAGUUUCAUGGCAUUGUGAGCCCGAGAAACUUGAGAGAUUGAUGACUGAGUGAGGCCAAGAACCUUAUUAUGAGUGAUAUUUACGGGAUCCGACUGCAUGCUGCUGCGGUUAUACUGAUUUAUAAUUGCGCUUGGGAUGAAGGAGCCCCUCUGGAGUCUGCACACACUCCCAGUGAGCACAGUUGCUUAUAUUGAGGGAUGGAUCUUCCCAGGAUAUGGAUCUUGUCCAAAGCAUUUAUAUACCUGGGGAUGGAUCUUCCCAGCGGGAAAGAUUUGGCCCUACUCAGUACUGAGUGACUAAUGGUCAGCUGAUGUAUAUAUUCCGGAAUACAUCUUCCCUGGUUCGAAUUGUAUACUAAGUGAUUGAGCAUGAUGAGUGAAAAGUGUGAGACAGUAAGAUUGAGUACUCUGAGAGUGUGAGUACAUGAGUUCAUAUAUGAGAUAUAUUGCAUUGACAUGCACACAUGAUAUACAGGCAUAGAGAUGCAUUUUUCUCAUGAUGUACAGUAUCACAUCAUUCAUAAAUUCUCACACAUAUUGACAUAUGAACAUAGAGAGGUAUUUUACACUUGGUAUCUAGAAAGAAAAUAAAACAUCUUAUUUAUUGUUGAAAAGAUUUUUGGAAAAAAUUACAGUUUUCAAACUGACUCGUAUUUUCAACGAUUCCGGUAAAGGAUUUGGAUUUUCACUGAUAUACUUGAAAAGCGAAAUUAUUUUUCGAGAAACUAUGAAAAUUUGAGCAAUUUAUCUCCGAAUUACUUGUUUUAUGUAAUUAUGAACUGUUGUUGGCUAUUGGUGUUGGACCCGACCUUUGUUCCAGCUCGUCAAUACUUUUGUAAGGUUUGUUAAUUAUUGAGUAGAUGGGGUCGGUUGUAUCAUACUAUACUUCUACACCUUGCGUGCAGAUGUUGGCUGCUGAUCUUGCUGUGAUCGAUGGGAGCUGGAAUUGAAGACGUACAUGCGUUCCGGUAGUAGCUAUAUCUUGUUCAUGAUAUUUUUAGAUUCAUAAAAAUGUGUUUAUAUACAUUUCAAACAUAUGUAUGUAUUUCAUAUCAAUUUUAUAAAUUCUAUUUUUAGAAGCUCGUGAUUUGUACUAUCAAUCCUUG